This 394-nucleotide ribosomal RNA is filed under the name uncultured bacterium. RNAcentral describes it as "bacterial SSU rRNA". It matches the Rfam family "Bacterial small subunit ribosomal RNA", at positions 28 to 424 of the family's 1533-position model. The record is from RNAcentral.
GACGAACGCUGGCGGCGUGCUUAACACAUGCAAGUCGAGCGGUAAGGCCCUUUCGGGGGUACACGAGCGGCGAACGGGUGAGUAACACGUGGGUGACCUGCCUUUAGCUCUGGGAUAAGCCUGGGAAACUGGGUCUAAUACCGGAUAUGACCCUAUGGCGCAUGUUGUGGGUGGAAAGCCUUGUGCGGCUAGGGAUGGGCCCGCGGCCUAUCAGCUUGUUGGUGGGGUGAUGGCCUACCAAGGCGACGACGGGUAGCCGGCCUGAGAGGGCGACCGGCCACACUGGGACUGAGACACGGCCCAGGACUCCUACGGGAGGCAGGCAGUGGGGAAUCUUGCGCAAUGGGCGAAAGCCUGACGCAGCGACGCCGCGUGAGGGAUGACGGCCUCGGUU